Molecule: ribosomal RNA, 371 nt
Filed under: Olea europaea subsp. europaea
Lineage: Eukaryota; Viridiplantae; Streptophyta; Magnoliopsida; Lamiales; Oleaceae
Description: LSU_rRNA_bacteria
Rfam family: Bacterial large subunit ribosomal RNA
Source: RNAcentral
UAUUGCUGGACUACUGGUACGACUUUUUCUAGAAGUAAUGUUAGGAGUAGGUUGGCAAAGAAUGCCUCCUUUCGAGAGGGUCCGAGUGAUCAGUGAGAUGUCACUCUGAAAAAAUUAGAAUUUUAACCUUCUGUCAGAAUCUACAAACAAAGGGAACGGUCUCUCAAGUAGACAAUUUUCAUGGAACGUAGGCUUCUCAAAAAGUAAUGGAGAAUGUAAAAGUUUCUUUGGGUUGAAUGGAGAUUGUCUCUCGAGUGCAAAGGCAGAAGAGAGUUUGACUACAAGAUCCACUCAUUGAGCAAGGAUGACAAUCGGCCUUAGUGAUCCAAUGAUCACUGGUGCCAAGUUGAAGGCCGUCGCUCAACGGAUAA